RNAcentral lists this microRNA precursor (78 nucleotides) under Bombyx mori (domestic silkworm). Its description in RNAcentral is "mir-2807 microRNA precursor family". It matches the Rfam family "mir-2807 microRNA precursor family". The record is from Rfam by way of RNAcentral. Lineage: Eukaryota; Metazoa; Arthropoda; Insecta; Lepidoptera; Bombycidae.
UUAACUCUAAUUUGUAUGGAGUUGGAACAUUUGUCUACGUUUGCCGCUAGGUGCGCUGUUCCAAUUGCAUUUGAGUUA